GGUUUUAGCGGCUUUAAAUAGCGGUCUUGAAAACCGUCGACUGUAACAGGUCCAUGAGUUCGAAUCCCAUCGCCUCCGCCA
Molecule: transfer RNA, 81 nt
Filed under: Pseudomonas frederiksbergensis
Lineage: Bacteria; Pseudomonadati; Pseudomonadota; Gammaproteobacteria; Pseudomonadales; Pseudomonadaceae
Also listed under: 1 other name
Description: tRNA-Ser
Source: RNAcentral